This is a long non-coding RNA of Chiroxiphia lanceolata (lance-tailed manakin), 8887 nucleotides long. RefSeq lists it as uncharacterized. The record is from RefSeq and is a predicted model, not a curated record. The transcript is spliced from 19 exons. Lineage: Eukaryota; Metazoa; Chordata; Aves; Passeriformes; Pipridae.
CCCAGGAGAAAGCGCUUUCCCGGUCGGGGGCCGGUCCCUGCAUUUUAAGCGAGAGCCGCCCGAUCCACCCACAUCAUUUUGUGCUGAGAUCACUCCUGGGUCUGCCGGGGGGAGCUUUCCUUCCUCCUGAGCUGCUGGAACACAGGCAGUGCUGCACUGUCUGCCCUGGCCCUGUGAGGAACAUCUCAGGGCACAGUGCCCCACGUCAGGCACCAUUCCCAACUUCUUCCUCAUCUAACCAAAGAAUCCCUGAGCCCUAUUUCCUUAUUUCCCUUUUCACAGUCCAUUUUCCUUUCCCACCUUCUCCCACUGCUGUCCUGGCGUUCUCUUGCCUGUGAUAUUUAUAUAGUUCUUCGCUGGAAAUGGAUUUCUUCUGGAAUUUCUUCUGGGAAUUGUGUUACACUCCAAGUAGGACACAGUGAAGAACGUUUUAGUGGAGUUACUGAAGGUGAUGGACCUGACUCAUAAGGACUGAAACUUGGAUAAAAAAAAAACCACCACAAUUCCCCUGGUGCUGGGGUCACUCUGCUCAAAAAGGAGCAAUCAUGGAAUUUAUUUCUUGGAAAACUCACACUGAACAGCAUUUUUGGAUGUAUUGUAUGUGAAGCCAACCCUGUGCCAGGUGGAUGUAUUUUGAAUUAUCCACUCUCCUUAUUUGAAGAGAUCUGUCCCUGUACUCUGAUUGCUCCUGGGCCGGUCUGCCAGCACCGUCAGAAAUGAUCACCUCACCGGUGGUUUCCUUUAAUCACCGGCAGAGCUGCUCCAGAGGAGGUGUCUCAUCCAGUGGAAAAAGCACCAUUCACUGCUUUGGGAAGCAGCUCCACGUUUUACUUCCCCACAAGCGGGAAGCAGCCGUAGGAAUUGCACUGCUCUGUCAGCUGGCUCAGCGCCUGGUGACAGUCUCUCCAGGGUGGCACUGCCCAGCCCUUGGCACACACCAGCAUCAGCUCCCCUAGAACCUGCUUUUUGUCACUUCUCUGAGUACAAAGCCGUGCCUGUAAGGUGAGAUGGAUGAAAAAAUCAAACUAUGGAGACCUCCCUAUUUCAAGAUAGUACCUGUCAGUAUUGAUACUUUUUUUCCUGUUCCUGGCCAUGUUUUUGUGGCAAAUUGUGAAAACUCAUCUAUUUGUGGUAGAUAGGUGGCUUUUCCAGGUGAGUUCACCCAAUUUCUAUGGACUCUUCAAACAUCUGAUUUUUCUUAUGAGUAGAUCUCAAUGAAGAAGUUUAAAUGAAUAAAUUUAAAUGAAUAUUCCUCCCAGCUUUCUCUAACUCCUUCUAUUUUUAUCUCUUAACUGUAAAACACCACAAGUGCAAACUGGAUUAGAGAUGCAUUUCUCAUGUGAAUAAAUACAGGUAUUUAUUGUUGCAUCUGUUGCAGCAGAUGUGAAAUUUUGUGAACCAAACCUGCUGCCCAAUGAGUAAAACCCCUGUACCAUGUGCUCAGAUGUGCACAAGCUGAAUUUUAAUUUAUUUUUUUAUUAAUUUUAUUUUUAUUUAUUUAUUAAUAUAUUAAGGUGAAACUUAUUUAUGAGGAAAGUCUUUUACUGACUUUGCCAAUAGAAAACCACCUCUGUGGAGAGUCUAAAUUGUGGUUCCAUGAGACACAUAUUGAAUUUUUUUUUUUGUUAUCAUUCUGAUGAAAACCUUUAUUGAUCUUCUGCUAUUUCAGUUUGAACUGAAGACAAAGUUGGCCACUUUAUGCUGAGAAGAAUCCAAGAGGAAAUAAAAGGGUUGCUUGAAAAUCCAAAUGAGAGAAAGUAGCUGUUGGAUGCAUUCUUGAGGAGGAAAGCACAACAGAAGGGAGCAUUUAAAAUCCUGAGAGGCUCUAAAUGCCUGGCAGUCAGACAAUAUCAAUUAUACAUGCCUCUGUGUGUUUAGAAACUCAAUAAAACCCUUCCAUUUCUCAGUGGUCCAGAGGAACAGCUUGUUCUGUAAAAGGCAUUUUCUAACUAUAGACAGGAAUCAGAGGUCGGGAGAUACUUGUAAAUCACCCCAGCAGGAAGAUACAGCAUCACAAUCUUAAGUUGAUACAGGAAAGGAGUAUUUUCUUGGCCAGAAUAUUUCCCUGCAGUGCUGUGGAACAGGGAAGUUGGGGAGGAAUCCUAAUGGAGAGACAGCAAGUAGUGAAGAGCUUCAGUCUCCAGUGGCUGCAGCUGGGAGAUGGAGAGAGCCCCGAGCAUGAAACUUUGCUGCAUGCCUGGAGAAAGAUGGAUCUCUCCUAUGUCCCACAGGCUGGAGAGGAGGGGGGAAGCACUCAGCCCUUUGGAAUGGUGUGUGCUGUGUCUGCCAACAGCUGCUGCUCCUGAGUGUCAUUAGCACCGGACUCGGAUCCAGGAAUGGGAAACACAGACGUGAUUUCAUUAAUAUUAAAGGCCUUGCUACAGGAGAGUUCUACGUGCUGACAAGAUAACACACAGCUUUAAUAUAGCAAAUUUCUUGAGCUGGUGGGGAUUCUGGUGCCUUCGUUGUGGAAAACAUUUGUUUUCAGUGUUUAAAAUGGGCCCUGAGUGAUAUGGGAGUGAAAUUCUGGUCCCUGUUUCCAUCAAAGUACUUUUCUUACAAAAACUUAACCUCCCACCUCACUUUUUCAAACAAGUGCCCUCUCCUGAUGCUGAGCAUCAAGAGUUUCAACAGUAACAAGCAUCACCACUUUCAGCUGGUUUUCAGAAUAGACAUUUACCGUGUGGUGUUUUACCCCCUUUCCCAGGACAGCUUGUUAAUUAAAGUGGAUCACUCAGGAGACCUGUCUGGAAGGAAGUCUGGGUGGGAGAGGAGGUGCAAACCCAGGGGACCAACACCAAGCACAACCAGCUGUUCUUUUGAAAGGGAGGAGUUAAAAAUCCAAGCUGAAAAGGACAAAGAAAGGGGGGGGGGAAUCUUGAUGCUGGAAAAUGAGAAGCUGCUUAUCAGAGGAAAUGUGGAGGUGUGAUGUCAGGGAAGGAAGCAUAUGGAGUCAAUGCCAGCUGUGUAUUUCUAGUGGCAUAAGGAAAAACAUGAUGGUGGUGGUAGUGAAGAUUCUUCCUGGAAAAACAGUGGGGGGUGCACGAUGUGUGCUGAAGGAAAUAGCAGAGCUGAAGGCCUGGGUUGAAUGGGUGAUGUCUGAAAGGAGCUCCUGGUGAAAGUGUGGGAUGGUGUGAAACAGGCCUUAAAAAUACGGCGAGCGACCAGCAGCCUUUCCUGAGAACCAGGUGCCCGUGGAAGUGUGGAAGCCUGCGUGUAAAAUCCGAAUUGUGUGGAAACAAGAUGUCACAUAAUUCCCUGUUAAGAUGGGAGGAGCAGGAAUGCAGUAUUCAGGAUGGAACUGUGCUUUUCCCCCAGUUUCAUAGUUUGGGAAUAUAUUUUACCCUCACAUGCAUUUAGUUGCACUGAUUAAAACUGAACUAUAUCUUCUUCCAUCACUGCCAUCAGGCUGGAAAUCCAAAAAAAGAUUUAAUUUCCUAAAGAGACAAGUCCCAGUAAUGUGUGAUUAUUAACUGGACAACUCUUCAGAAUUACAAAAUGCUCACGAAGACAAGCAAACCGACCUUGAGUUUGGAUUGUGGGGCUGCCAGCUGAAGCCCUGAGUAACCCGUGUGUAAGAAGAGGUACUACAGCACUUCUUGCCAUACCUUGACACAACAAGAGCUACCUGAGGUAAAAAAGAGUGUCCCUGUAGUGGGAUAUAAUGGCAUUUACUGCUCCAAAAUCUUUGCCAGCACGUGGAAAAAGCUGGAUGUGAGACCUCAGUCCUUACACAGCACACGAGGUGUUGUUAUUAAACAAUGGUUGUCGUUUCUUUGUUAAGAUCAGAGGUGCACUAAUGCCACACAAGACUAGAAUAAAGAAGUUUAAUACAGAAGUAAAUUAUUUUCUUGGUGGAAACCAGUAACUUGAGCUUUCUUACUGGAGAACAAACCAAAUUUCUGCACUGGGAGGACUCUGAAGCGAAGAGGUAAAAAUUCACAGAAUUUUGUAUCCCUAGCAAAGCACCAUUUUUUUUCUUUGAUAUCUGUUCCUCUUCCAGCAAUGGAAGAGGUUCCUGAGCCCUGGGACCUCCUGUCAAUUGGCUUCUUCAUGGCUGGCUUUGUCUUCAGAAUCAUCACUUUCAUACUCCUCAUCCUCAUACUGGGAGGCCCCCUCGGCCUCAGGGUCAGACUGACCUUCCUCCUCCUGCUCCGGGGAGCGCUCAGACCCAGAGCUGGGGCUGGAAUGAUCCUCCUCCUGCUCCUCUUCCUCCUGGGAAUGGCCAAGUGACUGAUCUGCCUUUGCUUCCUCUUCCUCCUCCUCCUGGGAAUGGCCAGGGGACAAGCCUGCCUUUGCUUCCUCCUCCUCUUCCUCGCUGUUCCGGACAGAGGGUGGGCUGGACUUGGGCUCAGGAGCAUCAGGGCUGGCUCUGGGCUCUUCCUCAUCCUCCAGCUCACUGCACUGCUCAUCUGGGGUGGAGAUUUUGACACCUUUUCCCUUCUCUUCCUCCUCCUCCUCCUCCUCCCAGGACUGCUCAGAGUGGGGACUGUCCUCAGCUGCUCCCUCAAGGAAUCCCCUUUCCCUCACUUUGAUCUCGAUGACUCUGAAAAGACAAUUGGCAGCUGACAAGUGGAAUGAUUAUUCACUGCAGCUGGCUUUUCAGAGGACCAGUCAAUAGAGCAGGAUGAUGAAACUUGAUUCAUCAACUGAAAUGGUCAGUUGGAUCACAGCAAGCACUGGAUAAUCCAGGUAGGAUGGGUGGUAAUCCUCAGUGUGUGACAGACACCUCACUGGGUCAAGGAUGAGAUCCAGGGGGCAUUUUACACUCCUGUCUCCUCCUGCCUCUCUCCCUGCCCAUCUCUGAAUUCCUGGGACGUGGCGGCUGUGCAUCAAGGCAAGUUAUUCCCCAUUUUAGGGAGUGAACUUCCUUGUUGCUCCUUGCUUGGAAGAGCACUUGCCCUAACAGACCUCGUUCCCCAACUGCUGAAAUGAGCAUUAUCAGGUUAAGCCUUUGGAGCAGCCCCAGAGCAUCAGCACCAGGGAAAUAAUCUUGCUUUUGUAAUGGCAUCAUUUUAUGAGCAGACAAGAAUUAAGCCACCAGUGUUUUACAGAGCUCCUCAAAUCUGAUUAAGCUGAACACUGCAGUGUGAAUUUUGCUGGUGAAUGAACUCAAACCAAAUCUGCACAAACACCCACUGUCUCUCUUCACUCUCCACCUACUCUGACUCCAAUUGCUUUCUGCUUCUGUCCCGGAGCCAGCAGAUCAUCUCCAAGGACAUAUACAUUAUAAAGCUCCUGUUCCUAACAGAAUGCCUGGUUACUGGAAAUUAGGAGUCCUGUUUGCCCAGGAAUCCUGCCCAGGCAUGAAGCAGCAGGGGCAGAGCAGCCCGUGCCUCUCACCAUCUCCACACAACAGCACCUGAAGCUGGUGAUCCUCCCGCAGUGCCAUCGUGCCAGGCCAGAUCACAAACCUCACUAAAGACUCAAACAGGAUUAAUUUUUUUGUAAGAUUAAAAAGAGCAAGAAGCAGAAAUGGUUUUAGAUCAGCCCCAGACACCAGGUCAAGCAGCAGUUGUGGGGUUAGAUCUGUGUCAGAGAGCUGGAGCCACCUGGAGUGCCAGCUCCCAGCACUGGUGUCAUUCCCUGCCUGCUGCUUCCCUCAGUCAUAUAGGAACAGUCUUUCAGUUGUAUCUCUCCUACAGUGGGGCCCGCAGGGACAAAGAAGUGACUUGUGGAAUGUUCACUGCCCCAGUGUACCAGUAUCCAGCUGUGCCAAGGCUAUUCUGUAACUACACUGUUCCUUCUCCUUUGAAUUGUUAUAAAUUUUUCCUCUUUAGCUGAUGUGUUAAUUGAGAAAACACAGGAGUCCCCUGUUAGCUAAUCUGUAAUACUCUAAGGUGGAAUAUAUAUUUCUAUAUAUAUGUUCUAAUGACAAUAUUUCCCAGUUGAAACACUAAAUUUGACCAUUUUGACUAUCUGCUUGCACAAUGUUUAAUUUAUCACGUCAUCAUGUUAACUUAGAUUAUUUUUUUAGACAUUGUAUGUUUAACAUACAAUGCAAUCCUGAACCUCCCAUUCUCAUUGUUGGAUGAGAGGUUCUGGAUUCAGGGGAAUGCCACGAAAUACCUGAAUGUUUUUAAUUUGGAUUUAGACAUCUGAGCAAGGCUCUGAUGUGGGUCAAUGGCCUCAGCCCGAGCCAGUACAAUUUUCUGGAAUUUUUUCUUUCUUUGUUUCUGCUUUGUUCUGUUCCUUUUUUGUUGUUCUUCCAGCUUUCUCUUUUCCUCAAGUGAAUUCCUGGUGGGGAAAAUAAACUAAGGCUGAAUUCAUAUUAAAUCAAGAGCACCACUUCAAAGGAAGCUUUGGCAAAGAUGAUUCCAAGGAGGAAAACGGGGUUGCCAUGAGAGGACACAAAGUAUGUGCCAUUUUAAGGGAUUCAGGAUAUCCUGGGAAACAGCAGUCAUUCAUCCCUUUCCUAGGGACAUUCUGAGAAAAAUAUACUAUUGUUUCUUCAACAAUCAUAAAUUUAAAGUAUUUUGGUUUAUAUUAUUUUAAGUUUUACAUUAUAAUUAAGCCCUUAUAUUAACAAAUUCAGUCCUGUAUUCACUGCACGGAAGAAUUAACUACAUGUGUAGAAAUAAAAAAAAAAAAAAAAAAUAUCUACUUUUAAAGUACAUAUAAAGUAGAGCAUCUCUAAGUAGUCACCUUAAGGCUUGUAGCCUUCGUCUAGUGGACUCUGUGUUUUUGGGAGACUUGGAUUUUCCAGCUCCCAAGAGCUGGGAAUUUGCACUUGAAUGCCUCAUUUGGGGUUUCCGUCUGGGAGAGGCGAAUGGCCACCGGGUUUCCUUCAGCUUCUCUUCGUCCUCCUCAAUGUCCUUCAGAAUCUUGCCCUUGUUUGAGGGGAUAUAUGAAGUCAGAAGGUUGAAGGGCUCACACACUGUGAGGUCUUUCACUUGCCUUUGCUGCAGGAGCCGUUUCUGGAAUCUCUCAUAUAACCUUUCAAAGUCUGGAAUGCAGGAGUUGAUCCUGGGUUUGUGUUCUGUUUGCUUUGGGUCAGUGCUCUUGUGUUUCUUCGUUUUUUUGGUCUCUUUUAAGGCCAGCCUGCUGUUGGGGACAGAGGAAUUACGCAGCAUCUCCUCAGCUCUCAUCCUGAUCCUGAUUUCCCUGUAGAGCUCCUCCUCCUUCAGCCUCUCAUUAAAAUCUGGGCUAUAAACACACUUGGGGACCGGUUUUGCUCUGAACACUUUGGCCGGACUUUCAGGCACGGAAAUGUCUCUUAACUGCAUUUUCCUGAUUUCAUUCCUUUGCCUCUCUCGUUCGAUGAAUUUAAAGGGUUUCUGGGAAGCCAAGAGCUUGAGUUUGCUCCUCUCCUUCACAGACCUCCUGCGCUCCUCGUUCCGCUGCACGAUGUCGUGGUAGAGCGGGAGGAAGACGGCGGCGGGCACCGGAUUGGCCCGGAAUUUUUUCUGGCACUCCGCUUCUUCCUCCAGCUGCUUCUUCAGUAAGUGAUUCUCCAGUUCGAUCUGUGACUUGGAUUUAACGUUCUGUUCUUUCUUCUGAGCUUCUCUGAUGGUCAUCUGGAAAGGCUUGGGCACGGUGACUCUGGGGGACCACUCCUUGGGUUUCUUCCAGGCCUUCCUGCAGGUGGGCGAGACGGGGGGGCUGUCUGGGAGGCGGGAGAUGUAGUCUUCCAUGGAGAACCCAUCCCACAUCUUCUCAAUCCGUUGCUUAGCCAACGAGGAUGAUCCGGUUUCACUCCCGUUUCCUUCAAAUGCUAAUUCCACGUCAGACACGUCGGAUAUAGUUGAGCCCAAGGGAUCACUUAAGUCGGAGUCUGAAAAGGAUUUGUGCAAGUUUAGAGGCUGAUACGAGCUCCUGUCCCAAGUUGGCCUUGAAAAAAGGGGGGAAAAAAAGCUUGGUUUGAGCCAGUCCAACAUUGGUGCAAAGCCAGUAAUUUCACUUUAAGGAAUCAUUGCUAGAAACAAAAAGGACAGUGGCUGAGGGGGAUGAGAAGGGAAAAGAGCAGCACUCUGGGCACUCACACCAGAUCCCAGUUUUAGUGCUGAUCACCAAGUCAGCACUUCCUAGGGAAAGGCCCUGUGCUUUCCUAAACAUGCUGCCCAGUCCCUGCUGCACACCCUCCUCUGAACCUCACAGACUGUUAGCGAGGUGAUGAGCAUUUUUAUUAUUAAAACUGACUGUUCUUUGAUCAUCUGCUCACAGGAGACGGUGAGACGAACACUUUCCAGCCCCACAAACACAGCCUGCUGUUUUACAGCUCCCUGCAAAGCAUCUGAGAAUCUUCAGAUAAAAAGUGCCCCCCCGACUUACCUACAAGACUUGAAAGAGGUGUCCCUUCUCUUGUCCAAGGGAUGUGCUCCUCUUAAAUGCAGUUUGUUCCGAUACAUACUUUCCAAUUUUUUCAUGGUCUCCAGGUGGGCAUUCUUCAACUCUUCCAGCUUCAAGUAAUACUCUUGAUUUGAAUUGCAUAUUUUGGAGAAGUCUAUCCACUUGUCACAGUCUCCUUUUAGAGGGGGGGUCUGCGCUCUGUUGGUGUUUGAAUCCAAAUCAAAGCCAUCCUGGAAAAGAUGUUUGUAAAAUUUUCUGUUAGAAGAAAGGGGAACGAGGUUCUUAAGGUUGCUUUAUUCUAAUUUAGUCUAAUGGAUGAUACAAGUAACACCAAAUAGAGUUAACCUGUAUACAAAUGUUACUGCAGAGCUCCGUGGAAUAAUCUUAUUGCAUAUUAAUUUAUGUCCUGGGGGCCCUGUAAAAGCCUGUAAAAAUUCCCAAGUCUGUCCUGUUAUCAAUAUAUUUAUAACAGGAAUUAUGAUCAAAAGGACUUACCAAAAGCAAAAACAUAACUAUUUUGUAAAGUGCAGUUUUUCCUUGAUUACUAUGCAGCUCUAAAAAAGCCUUUAGUUAAAAGCAAACAAAACCCCACCAGAAC